GAAGACACAUCUGGACUCUCAUUAUGAUGUAACAGAACAUUCUUCCAAGAGUACCCAGUGUAUGGUGGUCAGCACACUCAAGUCUCCCUCAGCCAUCAGAUCUCAUUAUUUCUCUGCUUCGUCACUCCUUCCUAAAAUACAACUUUGGCUUCCUAGGUAGUCAGUACUUUCCUGGUUAUAAACAGAGGAUGAAAACACACCAGGUUUCCAGUGUAUCCAUCAUCAGCAGAUGACAGGCAGGCUUGCUGUACAGGGACUGACAGGAUGUCACCAGAAAACAGCAGCGCUUUAAGCACAGAGAACAGCUUGACCAAAGACAUGGAGACUGGAGAAGGUUUCUGGACCUGUGGGAUAGCAGCUCUCCAGUGUGGCUUCAAGAUCCAGACUCACAGAAGAUGGCUGAGAGGUGGCAAAGGAGGACUCAGCAACAUCUCAGCCACAGCAGAUGGGUCUAGCCACAGCUCUGCCACUGAGGUGCCUGCUGUCACUGCAUGAUGCUAGCCUGCCGGGGCUCUGAAUGACACCAGCGCCUGGGAAGACAGCGGCUAAGGCACACAGAAAGAACAAAGCACUUCCGCAGGAGCCUGACUUUCAACCAGGAGUCUGAGAUGCUGAGGAUUGUCCACAUUGCUGCGUGAAUAAAACACGUCCCCUCAGAACGCAGGGUAUUUAAACUCAUGAAGAUUUAUGGCGACACUGCUCUUGAGAAGUCAAAUGGAUGUGCAUCUUUGGCGUUGAAAGGUGAAUGUGUCCACUGCUAGCAAAAUGAUACAUAUUGGGUGUCUUGUGAAAGAUCAUUAAAAUAUAAUUAAAUGAG
This is a long non-coding RNA of Rattus norvegicus (Norway rat), 817 nucleotides long. RefSeq lists it as uncharacterized. Lineage: Eukaryota; Metazoa; Chordata; Mammalia; Rodentia; Muridae. The record is from RefSeq and is a predicted model, not a curated record.